CUACAUAGGUCCCAUCAAGUCCAUGUGGAGAAGUUCCAUCACUUUAGAUGUGGUGUCAUGUUUGAUCUUCUGAUGUGACAUCUUUGUCUGCUUUCCAAUCUGACAUUCACCACAUACUCUUCCUUCUUCAAUCUUUAAUUUUGACACAAAGGCUAUGCUUUUGACUUUCUUUUCAGAUCCAUCACUCAUUCCCAACUCAAAUGUUUGGAGGGAUC
RNAcentral lists this long non-coding RNA (215 nucleotides) under Lathyrus oleraceus (garden pea). RNAcentral's name for it is "Pisum sativum (pea) long non-coding RNA (PSAT_LNC039727)". Lineage: Eukaryota; Viridiplantae; Streptophyta; Magnoliopsida; Fabales; Fabaceae. The record is from RNAcentral.